This 468-nucleotide ribosomal RNA is filed under the name uncultured bacterium. RNAcentral describes it as "partial 16S ribosomal RNA". It matches the Rfam family "Bacterial small subunit ribosomal RNA", at positions 28 to 507 of the family's 1533-position model. The record is from RNAcentral.
GAUGAACGCUGGCGGCGUGCUUAACACAUGCAAGUCGAACGGAAAGGCCCGGCUUUUGUGGCGUGCUCGAGUGGCGCGCGGGUGAGUAUCACGUGGGGAACCGACCCUUAACUGUGGGAGAACUCUAGGAAACUGGGGCUAGAACAGGAUAGGAGCUACUGCGCCAGGGUGGGGGUUGGAGAGUUGCGGCGGUGGGGGAGGGACGAGAGGCUUAUCAGCCUGUUGGUGGGGUAGUGGCUGACUAGGGCUUCGACGGGAAGCCGGCCUGAGAGGGUGACCGGCCACAAUGGGACUGAGAGAAGGCCCAGAAGACUACGGGAGGCAGCAGUGGGGAAGAUUGCACAGCGAGGGGAAGCCGGAUGCAGCAGCGCUGCGUGCGGGAGGAAGGCCUUCGAGGUGUAAACAACUUUCGCCUGUGAAGAAGAGGGAGUGACGGUAACGGGUAAAGAAGCACCGGCUAACUACGUG